CCUACGGGUGGCAGCAGUAGGGAAUAUUGCUCAAUGGGGGAAACUCUGAACCAGCAACGCCGCGUGGAGGAUGAAGGUUUUCGGAUUGUAAACUCCUUUUUUUAGAGAGAUUAUAACGGUCUCUAACGAAUAAUCAACGGCUAACCCUGUGCAAGCAGCCGCGGGAAUACGGAGGGUGCAAGCGUUACUCGGAAUCACUGGGGGUAAAGCGCGCGUAGGCGGGAUAGCAAGUCAGAUGUGAAAUCCUUUGGCUUAACCAUAGAACUGCAUUUGAAACUGUUAGUCUCGAGUAUGGGAGAGGUAGGUGGAAUUCUUGGUGUAGGGGCAAAAUGCGUAGAGAUCACGAGGAAUACUGAUUGCGAAGGCGACCUGCUAGAGCGUAACUGACGCUGAUGCGCGAAAGCGUGGGGAGCAAACAGGAUUAGAUACCCGAGUAGUC
This 439-nucleotide ribosomal RNA is filed under the name uncultured bacterium. RNAcentral describes it as "partial 16S ribosomal RNA". It matches the Rfam family "Bacterial small subunit ribosomal RNA", at positions 338 to 795 of the family's 1533-position model. The record is from RNAcentral.